AAAAAACCCUAUAUAAAAUUAUCCAACGGUGGAGGAACAUUCAUGCGCGGAAACACGGAGCCGCUCACACCCAAGACAUUGGAAUCUCACACCCUCCCAUACAAACAAAAAACGUCACUGCUCUCUGAAACACACUCACGCUCCUUCACGUCUCUCUCCCCACUUGCAAACACUAACUUUAACUCAACCAUAGUUUACUACCAACCACACCCUCGAUUUUCUUCCCUUUAUUUAUAUCCCAACUCCCCCUCAAUUCGCAUUCUCCGUUCCCCUAUCAUUAUUCUUCUUAACCACGCUAGUUACUUACCUUUCUUCUCUGUUUAUUUUGUUUCAUGUGAGGGAUAG
Molecule: non-coding RNA, 345 nt
Organism: Vicia faba (fava bean)
Lineage: Eukaryota; Viridiplantae; Streptophyta; Magnoliopsida; Fabales; Fabaceae
Source: the annotation of a GenBank genome assembly